Molecule: non-coding RNA, 105 nt
Organism: Ceraceosorus guamensis
Lineage: Eukaryota; Fungi; Basidiomycota; Exobasidiomycetes; Ceraceosorales; Ceraceosoraceae
Source: the annotation of a RefSeq genome assembly
UCCCGGCUAGCUCAGUUGGUAGAGCGACAGACUCUUAAUAAAAGGUCUGGAUGCAUGUGCAUUCAACAAAUCUGUAGGUCCAGGGUUCGAGCCCCUGGUUGGGAG